This 427-nucleotide long non-coding RNA is filed under the name Homo sapiens (human). RNAcentral describes it as "long non-coding RNA NONHSAT118392". The record is from RNAcentral. Lineage: Eukaryota; Metazoa; Chordata; Mammalia; Primates; Hominidae.
GAACUGACAGAUACACAGCAAAGCUCCACAUACUUUUCCUUUUCUUUGUGCCUGCAAAGUUCUUCUUCAGUGUCUCUCUCUUUUCAGCUACUACUGCUGGUUGGUUUAAAAAAACAGGACAAUAGUAAAAAUUAGAGACAAGUGUUUGGCCAUAAAGAGAAACACUGGCUACCUCCCGUAUUUUCAAGCGUGGGUGAUGGUUGUAGUUUUCCAUCUCACCUUGUAGGGGAUGAAUCCAGAAAAAGCUUCUGUUACAAAUCAAAAUGGACAUGCCAGAAGUAUUAGCUCAAAUCAACCUUGUCCUGUCUAACCACUCAGUGACCCAAAAUACCACUUGGACUAUUAAUCUCAGGGGCCAGAGAAUGGAGCUGGAGAAGGAGUUGUUAGAUCGGGGACAAAUAACCAUGUUAUAGUGGCAAUAGGAAAU